AACGAACGCUGGCGGCAGGCUUAACACAUGCAAGUCGAGCGCCCCGCAAGGGGCGCGGCCGACGGGUGAGUAACGCGUGGGAACGUACCUUUUGGUUCGGAACAACUCCGGGAAACUGGAGCUAAUACCGGAUAAGCCCUAACGGGGAAAGAUUUAUCGCCGAAAGAUCGGCCCGCGUCUGAUUAGCUAGUUGGUGAGGUAACGGCUCACCAAGGCGACGAUCAGUAGCUGGUCUGAGAGGAUGAUCAGCCACAAUGGGGCUGAGCCACGGCCCAGACUCCUGCGGGAGGCAGCAGUGGGGAAUAUUGGACCAUGGGCGGAAGCCUGAUCCAGCCAUGCCGCGUGAGUGAUGAAGGCCUUAGGGUUGUAAAGCUCUUUUGUCCGGGAAGAUAAUGACUGUACCGGAAGAAUAAGCCCCGGCUAACUUCGUG
This 431-nucleotide ribosomal RNA is filed under the name uncultured bacterium. RNAcentral describes it as "partial 16S ribosomal RNA". It matches the Rfam family "Bacterial small subunit ribosomal RNA", at positions 29 to 507 of the family's 1533-position model. The record is from RNAcentral.